This 305-nucleotide ribosomal RNA is filed under the name uncultured bacterium. RNAcentral's name for it is "bacterial SSU rRNA". It matches the Rfam family "Bacterial small subunit ribosomal RNA", at positions 334 to 656 of the family's 1533-position model. The record is from RNAcentral.
UUAUCCUACGGGGCGCAGCAGUGGGGAAUAUUGCGCAAUGGGGGCAACCCUGACGCAACAACGCCGCGUGAUUGAAGAAGUACCUCGGUAUGUAAAGCUCUAUCAGCAGGGAAGAAAAUGACGGUACCUGACUAAGAAGCCCCGGCUAAAUACGUGCCAGCAGCCGCGGUAAUACGUAUGGGGCAAGCGUUAUCCGGAUUUACUGGGUGUAAAGGGAGCGCAGGCGGCCUGCCAAGUCUGGUGUGAAAACCCGGGGCCCAACCCCGGGCCUGCAUUGGAAACUGGCGGGCUGGAGUGUCGGGGGG